UUUUCAUGGUUUGUACGCUACAUGAAAUAUAAUAUUUUGCUGGAAUCUUUUGACCUUUUCAAAAACCUGUAUUUUGAUUGUCUGGCAAUUCUGCUAUUUCCCUGCAGGUUAGAGAAGAAAACUAUGUUUUGUGGAGGAGGUGAAUUUACAGCGGCAUUGCACUGAGCUCUGUGGCAGGAAAGAUGCGCUGCUGGUAUGAAAAUUGCAUGUGCUGAACUUGGAUGGACAGAUUAAAAACACCCAGAACCAAACUUAUUCAUGGAGGAACCAGGUGAAAUUUCUUAUUCAGGUAUGUGCUGCACGGUGUAUCAGUGUAUUGAGGUUAGAUACAAACUCUGCUCAUGCUCUGAGGUGACCAAAAUCUGUAUGACCAGAGAAGUGUGCUGCAGCAUACUGGCGGUGAGCACCAGCUGAAGGCUUCUCUGGAUCCAUGCAUCCCACCUGGAGUUCAGGCACAGCUCACACGAUGACGUGAUGGGCAGAAGGGCUGUAGCUAUGAUUAAAGACUGCUUGCUAACCCAGUUCCUGUCUGCAGGAUUAGGCACAUUCCUAAAAGUCCUCUGUACAUCCACCUGGGCCACCUUGCCAUCGGGACUGGGACUGCUUAUCACACAGCAACAGACACUUUUCCUCUUAGGGGUUUUAAUACCUGCAGUUCUUCUUUGGUGACAACUCCAAUCCUGAGAUGCUGCAAUGACCACAAGGCUUUCUUUAAAAAAAAAAAACAACACACAUUAGCUAAUCAUAACUGUGGAGGAAAAAAGAUACAGCUCAGGAGAAAUAUGUUCCAAGUGACAGCAUCUUUGACAACCUGUACUUUUUGUUCUGCCUUUUGUUCUUCUUCCUAUGAAAAGCCAUGUGAUGAAGAUUGCUGGAGAACAUUGAUACCUUACCUACUUAUGAAAAAUAAAUAAAUAAAUAAAUAAAUAAAAAAGAAGUAACUGUGUACUUCCCA
Molecule: long non-coding RNA, 955 nt
Filed under: Anas platyrhynchos platyrhynchos (common mallard)
Lineage: Eukaryota; Metazoa; Chordata; Aves; Anseriformes; Anatidae
Description: lncRNA (ENSAPLG00000027323.1)
Source: RNAcentral